RNAcentral lists this ribosomal RNA (573 nucleotides) under Rhodotorula paludigena. Its description in RNAcentral is "LSU rRNA". It matches the Rfam family "Eukaryotic large subunit ribosomal RNA", at positions 62 to 647 of the family's 3401-position model. Lineage: Eukaryota; Fungi; Basidiomycota; Microbotryomycetes; Sporidiobolales; Sporidiobolaceae. The record is from RNAcentral.
AAACUAACAAGGAUUCCCCUAGUAGCGGCGAGCGAAGCGGGAAGAGCUCAAAUUUAUAAUCUGGCACUUUCAGUGUCCGAGUUGUAAUCUCUAGAAGUGUUUUCCGCGUUGGACCGCACACAAGUCUGUUGGAAUACAGCGGCACAGUGGUGACACCCCCGUACACGGUGCGGACGCCCAGCGCUUUGUGAUACACUUUCGAAGAGUCGAGUUGUUUGGGAAUGCAGCUCAAAUUGGGUGGUAAAUUCCAUCUAAAGCUAAAUAUUGGCGAGAGACCGAUAGCGAACAAGUACCGUGAGGGAAAGAUGAAAAGCACUUUGGAAAGAGAGUUAACAGUACGUGAAAUUGUUGGAAGGGAAACGCUUGAAGUCAGACUUGCUUGCCGGAGCUUGCUUCGGUUUGCAGGCCAGCAUCAGUUUUCCGGGGUGGAUAAUGGCGGUUAGAAGGUAGCAGCUUCAGCUGUGUUAUAGCUUUCCGCUGGAUACAUCCUGGGGGACUGAGGAACGCAGCGUGCUUUUAGCGGGGGUUUCGACCUCUUCACGCUUAGGAUGCUGGUGUAAUGGCUUUAAACGA